This 504-nucleotide ribosomal RNA is filed under the name uncultured bacterium. Its description in RNAcentral is "partial 16S ribosomal RNA". It matches the Rfam family "Bacterial small subunit ribosomal RNA", at positions 28 to 523 of the family's 1533-position model. The record is from RNAcentral.
GAUAAACGCUAGCGGCAGGCUUAACACAUGCAAGUCGAGGGGCAGCAUAGAUUGUAGCAAUACAAUUGGUGGCUACCGGCGCACGGGUGCGUAACGCGUAUGCAACCUUCCCGUCACAGGGGGAUAAUCCGGAGAAAUCUGGUCUAAUACCCCAUAACAUAUGGAUCGGCAUCGGUUCAUGUUGAAAUUUUCGGAGGUGACGGAUGGGAAUGCGUAGCAUUAGCUUGUUGGUGAGGUAACGGCUCACCAAGGCGACGAUGCUUAGGGGGACUGAGAGGUUUGCCCCCCACACUGGUACUGGGACACGGACCAGACUCCUACGGGAGGCAGCAGUGGGGAAUAUUAGUCAAUGGGCGCAAGCCUGAACCAGCCAUGCCGCGUGCAGGAUGACGGCUCUAUGAGUUGUAAACUGCUUUUGUACGAGGGUAAAGUGGGUUACGUGUAACCUUUUGAAAGUAUCGUACGAAUAAGGAUCGGCUAACUCCGUGCCAGCAGCCGCGGUAA